UGUUAUGUGAUUAUGUGAUAUUGGUGAAUUGGUUUGUCUGAGUACCUAUAAUUAUUUUUAAAUAUUAUGGGAUUAUUAUAUGAAUUUUAUGAAUUUGGUGUUAUCUGAUUUAUUGAAUUGACCGCUCUUAUGUGUUAGUAUUUGAGAGAUUUCAAUUUCUAUAUGCUCAGGAGAAAAUAUAGUUUAUUUGGAUAUUUUCAUAUCGAUUUAUGGAAUUUUAGAUGAUUUUAUAAUUGAUUUACGGAUUUAAUUGCGGAUAUUUAUAUUUAAUUAUUGAUCGGUUGAUUUCCGUAAAAUCGUCCCCUCGUAACGGUUUAGCGAUUUUUCUUCCCGAAAGUUUCAACAAAACUCACCUUUAGCCUAAUUUGAAUAUUCCGGACAUUUUUCGUGUUUUGACUUUUUCGAUCCGGAGUACGGUUUUCCCCGGAGUCGGUCCGGCGGAGUUUUUCGGGUAUUUUAAUUGUUGAUAAUUAUCUGGUUGUCUCGAUAAACGUGAAACUAGAUAUUUUGAUUCAUCCUUAUCUUGUAAUAAUUGCAGUGGGACCCGCAUACUAAUGACUGAUUAAAAAGCCCCGUUUUGAUGAUUAUCUUGAAAACCAGUACCGAUUGGACCCCGCUUUAUUAAUAUAAAGCUAUUAAAUACGUAUUUUCAUGUCAUAAACGAUCCAAAGGGGUACCAAUUAUUUGUAAAUAUAAAUAGACCUUUCUAGAGCUUAUUUUCACCGUAGAAAUCAUUUUCACCAGUUUCUCUGCACGAAUACCGAGAGAAACCGAGCGGUGUUCUUCGUGUUCUUCAUAAUCAAACGAAGAUUUGAAGGUGUUAUUGGAGUCAGAAUCAAGCGUGCGAAUAGUCAAAUCGAAGGUAUCGAAGAGUAGAACCUAUAUCUGCAAUCAAAAAACAACAUGAGAUUCACAGGUAAGGAGUAAUUGAAGUUUUAAAAUUCGAGUUAUUAAGAUUUAAAUAGUGGAUUUUUGAAAAUGUGAUUGUUUGACUAUUUUGAUGAUACCAUGUUGUAGUACGUGUUUUUCUCGUCGUUUUGGUAUAUUAUAUGUUUAAUUUGGGGUCCGGAAACGUAUAGAAAAAGCUGUUUGAUUCUUGAUGGAUGUUCUUGAAUUUCUGGGAAAUUGCUUGAAGCUUUUCAAUUCGUUUUGGGGAUUUUUAGUCCAUUGAUUCUGGGCGUAUGUUGAUAGCACCAUCAGGUAGAGCGAGUUGAGGGGAAUAAGUUUGUGUAUUUAGAUUGAAUGGAGGAGUUGUGGUUAAGCCUCGCCGGAGUUUUCAAGAAAUUCGGCGGCGGCAACUUCGAUCGGUUUUUCCAGCUGAUUGGCAAGCUUUUUGUUGAUUCUUAGAUCAUGAAUGGAUUUGUUGUAGUGUGUUUGAGGUAUCUGGAGCGUUUGGUAAAGAACGGUGGCCUGUACGGCCAUCUCCGGCGAGGUCGACGUCGGGGGGCGGCGGCCUGGCCAAAUUACAGUUUAGCCCCCCCAUGUUUUGGAAAUGAUGAAGUUCAGUCCUUGGACUUUUCGUUUUUGUAAAUCAAACCUCCGGCUUUCGAGUUUUACAAAACUAACCCCCAGUUUUCUAAACUUUCAAAUCAGCCCCUGUUUAAGUUUCCAAAGUUUAUAUUUUAAACCUUGGACUUUUAAAGACUUUCAAAAGUUUACAAAAUAAACCUUUUGAUUUAAUUUUCUAAAAUUGUUUUAUUUAAUUAUUUUAAAUUCCAAAAUAUAGUUUUUAAUUAUUUGUUUAUUCAAAAAUAAAUCUAAAUUAGUUUAUUAAUUACUUUUAAUUAGUAAUUAAUUAUUGUAAUUGGUCAAUUAAUUUAAAAGUUAAUUGAUUAAUUAUUUUAAUUAAUUAUUAAUUGAUUUUAAUUGGUUAAUUAAUUGGAUUUAAUUAUCCUUUUUGAUUUAAAAAUUCCGAAAAAUGGUUUCGAGCUUUAAAAUAUUUUUCCAAAUUAUUUUCAAGGCUCGAUAAUUGGUUAUGAAUGAUUUCAAGUCCAAUUUCAAGUAUUUGGGACUUGAUUAUUUAUCCGAAAAGUGAUUCUUUUAUCGAUUUUAAUUCCGAAAAAUGUUUAAAAAUUCUGGAAAAUUCCCGAAAAAUCAUUUUAAACCCGAGACUCGAUUUGACAUUAGUCGGGAUGGGAAAUCUUAUGUGUUAUGUGAUGUGUGUUAUUAGAGUGAUGUAUUAUGUGUUGAUAGAGGAAGUAGGAAACAAUUUGGAUCAUAUCUUUUGAUCCGUAAGCCGAAAUCGAGUGAAACGAAAGAGAGAUGAAAGCUCAUGGAGUCUAUUUUAAUAUGGCAAGAUAAUAUGAUCGAGUCUAGAAGGUGACUAUACGUUGUUUAAUAUGCACAAUGUGAUUAUAUGUUAUUUGAUUGCUAUUAAUUGAUGACUACGUGAUAUACAUGUUUAUUCAUGAUAGUAUAUGCGUGUGAUAAAUGAUUUGGAUGACAUAGUGUCGUGAGUUGAUUGAUAUUGGAUAAGAAUAUAUGGAUUAUAGUGAUUGGAUCUUGUUGGUUGAUUGUUGAUUGAGAUAGGAUAACAGGUGGAUAGUCUAAUAAAUAGACGAGACGAUGUCGGAUUUUCGAUAGGAUUCAUAUGAUAAUUGAUUGGUAAUAUGUUAUGUGGAAUAUGACUUGACUAUAUAUUAGAGUCAAAGCAUGAUUAUGUGUUAAGUGAUAUGUGAUAGGUUUAAAGGGGUAUAUAAGUGGGUAUCGAUAUACGUGAUAUGUAUAUGCGAUAUAUUGUUUAGUGACUAUAGUAUUAUCUUAUUCUCGUAAAGGAUUUGGACGAGACGUGUACGCUCGAAGACGUCAGAAAGUCGGAAUGGUAUUGCAAAGCGAAUAAGGGAUGAAUCGAGUAAGCGAAGCGAUGUGGCGAAUAGAGUAUAGCUAGAGAUGGUCUAGAGAUUACGAGAUGCAUAGAUUGUGAAAGUUGAAAGAUGAGAUAGAGAUGUGAGACUGGAGUCAGAUUUAAGGCAAGUAUCCUAAACCUUUCCCUUGGAUAUAUUGCAAAUAUUCUGAUCCAUUCCUUUGGUAUAUGUUUCAAGUAUUCAUACCUUUCUUUUCAAUGUUCGAAAGUGCGAGUAUUCUGAACCAUUCUUUCUAAUCUUCAAGUUUCUAAAGAAUUUCCGUUUUACAAAUUAAUUCGAAGUUCAGAUUGUCAUUGAAGCAUGUGUUGCUCAGUGAUAGUUAGAGCUUUGAAUGAAUUGGGAUCUUCUUGAUUAUUCAACCCGCCAUUGUCAUGCUGGUUUAGCAGGCUAAAUUCAGUUGCUUAGCCGAUAAUGGAGGAUACUGAAUAGUUGAGGAUUUCCUGAACUGUGAUUUAUGAAAUGAUGGAUCAUGAUUUAUGAAUAGAUUAUUAUCAAAGUUUGAAUUGGAAUUAUUCUGUUGUUGAUGAUAUUUAUGAUGAUGUUCUGUUAAUUUACAUUGGCUUCUUGAAUUGAAUUAGAGAAUUGGAUUAUUGUUUUUAUAUAAACCUGUGGACCAGAUUCGUGGUCAUGUUAGGCCAAUGAGUGCCUUGGAUCCAGUGAUAGAGCAUGGCGGGGCCUGCUCGGGGUUAGUGCGGAACUGAUCAGCUGCCUAACCUUGGUUUUAAUUAAAAUGUGAUAGUCCAAUUCAAUAAUUCUUUUGGAAAGAUUGAAUUCCUCAGUAUUCAAUUGCUGCAAGGUAUUGUGGUGUUCUUAUACAAUACCUAAACUCGUGAACUCAGGUUGAACCCUUUUAUAUCUUGAACUCGUGAAAUUCUAUUAUAUCAUUUCAGAACUAUCAUUGUUUAUUAUUACUUGCUGAGCAUUGUUGCUCACCCUUGCUAUUCCUUUCUAACCAUUUCAGAAAGGCUUAAAGAUGAGAUGAUUGAUUGAGAUUGUGAGUAAGGCUAAUGCUAGGCGAGGAGACAGAGUUGAGGAUCCAGUGGUCGAGGAGUGUUCAGGAAAGUUGAUGAGGUUGGUGCAAGCUGGAAUAGUUGACAGUGAUUCUUCUUAUCGAAGAUGAUCUGAUUUGGUAAGAGAUGUUGUGUAAUAAUAGUGGUAGAUUCUAAUUUCAAUACUGUAACCUGGAUGCGAUCCUGUUGCUUUUAGGGGGUUUAAAUGUUCUCUUUCGAAUCAUUUAUUAAAGUUUAAAUGUUCUCUUGAAAUUAUCCUAUUAUGGCUUUCAAGAUUGAAAUUCAGGUUUUGAAAUCAUUCGAUUUAUGUUCUCAUUCAAAUCUUUUAUUAAAUGUUUUCACGUUUUAAAUUCUUUUGGAUUUUCAUUAUCAUUUAAAAAAAAAAAAUACAGGUUUUCAAAAGUGUUUAAAAAUGGGUUUUAUGUGGUGACGUCAGAAUCCAGGCCCCCGGAUUCUCGGACCGUCACAGUUGGUAUCAGAGCAACAGGUUAUAAGUAUUUGAAAUUAGAAUAUAGAUCAUAGUUAUAGGUUUUCUAGAGAAGAAUGUGGUGUAACCUCACAUAGAGGUAUGGUCGGACUAUUUAGGAAUAGUCUAGAGAUGUGAGUGAAGCAUAGAGUUUAGUUAGAUGAUCAAGUUAAUUGUGGAUAUCUAAAGAGAUUAGGAUUCUUAAGUUUAGACAUAUGAUUUCUAGUAUGUUGAUUAAUUGAGAUGGUGAAUUAUGGGAAAGGUCAGUAUUAGACCUAUAUAGAAGAGUUUGAUAGUGAAUGAUUGAGUUGAGAAUGGUGAAAAUGCAGAGUUCAGAGUAUUCUGACUAUACUGCAUAUUUGAAAUUGGAUUAUUGUAUUGAUUUGAGGAUGAUAUAAAUGCAUGGUUCAUAGUAUGUUGACCAUGUCAGAUAUUUGGAAGAUGUAUAUUGUUUUGAGUGAAGAUAUGAAGAGUAAGUGUAGAGUAUGAGUUGUAUUGGAUUAGAAGGAGAGAUUGGUAGAUAGAGGUUGAUAGGUGAGAAGUGAAUGAUAGAGAGUACGUGGAAUUGAGUCCAGUUAUUAGAGAUGAUGUCUACGAGUAAGUUAGAACGUUAGUCCUCGACGACAACGCUUCGAGCUAAUCGGGAUUUCAAAUGGCAUCAAGGUGGGCCCAUAACCCACAGGUUGAUGAUCCAGACAAUCGAAGAUACGUUACGUGUUUGUGCUAUGGAUUUCAAAGGCAACUGGGAUAAAGUAGAAGAAUGUAAACUACAUGGGCCAGAGUUAUUACGGACGAUAACGUCUACGAUGAUAUUUUACGAGGCUAAUACGAGUCAAAUCGAUUGAUUAUCGGGAACGUUGAGAAGAAGACUUACGUCGAACAACGAUUUAUUGAAGUAGAGUCGAAAUCUGAGAAGACCUUGGCAAUACCUCUCUUCAACUAAAGAUUCUUUUGAUUGUUUUCUCAUCAGUGAGAUAUUAUUAUGAUAUCUUUUCUACAAAAGUUUUGAUAAAUGAGAUCUUCAAUUUCUCAAAUUCUAAGAUGACAUUGAUAUUGAUGAUUGGUAUGAGUUGGAAGACAAAGAUGUGUGAUAAAGGAUUGUUGUGAAGAGACAGUGAUGUUCUUUGAUAUUGUUUGACAUUUCUUGACAGUCCUUGAUAUUAUUUCAUCUUCUUGGAUAUCCCAUGAUGUUCUUUGAUAUUUUGAUAUCCGUUGAUAUUCGUUGAUAUUCUUUGACAUUCUUUGAUAUUCCUUGAUAUCUUUUCGAUGUUCCUUAAAAUAUUCCUCGAUAAUCCUUAACAUUUCUUGAUGCUCUUUGAGAUUUCUUGGAUUCUUUCCAUUUGAUUGGGAUGAACAACUCUAUUUAUAGGGGACACAAGGUAUACCUGUCUGUGUGAUAGGAGUUGGAUGGGACGCCAUCACUUGUGUGUGUUGUGAUUACAAGAAGGUUAACAACCUUUAGUAGUGUCUAAUAUAGACACGCAACAUUAAGUUCAUUUGAUCGUAUUGAUCUCCCAGUCACUCUUGUAUUCCAAUGUGACCUACUUUGAAAGCAUUUUGUUCCUCCAAAAUUCCCAAAGAUUGAUUCUUGGGAAAACGAAUUUGGCAAUUGUGAAAGUUUUGAUUCUCCUGUAUUUUUAAAAGCUAAAGGUAUGCCAAGGUUGAUCAAAAGAUGGAUGACGAUACGAUAUUACGAAGUGUGUACGGUUUCGUUUUCUUCGGGGGGUUCCGAGGACGGAAUCCUUAUAAGGGGGUAGAAUGUAAUAUCCCAUAUUUUUUAAAUUUAGACUUGAUUGUUAUAAAUCUAUCUGUCUAAAUAUUAUUGUUGGCUUUAGUUGAGAAGUGAAUUGAUUAUGUGAAUAGCUUUAUAUGAUUAUACCUGUUUUGUGGAUUAAUAUGGAUUUUACAAAUAUUGCAUCCUCCUUCUUUCUCUGAUUCCGAGGACGGAAUCCCUAUAAGGAGGGUAGAUUGUAAUGACCCGGAUUUUUUAAAAAUAUUUUUAUUAGUAUUAAAAGUGAUUUUUCUUUAAAGAAGGGAAUAAGAUUUAAUAUUUUAUUCCAGUUUAAGGAGUUUUCAAAAUUUUAUACUAAACCCCGGGUUAUUGUGUUAUUGAUAAAUGAUUAUAUUUUUAAAACUGAUUUUCAUAUAUUGUUUCGAAAAUUCUAGAUGAUUAUUAUGUGAAUAUAUGUGUGAUGUGAGUAAGUGGUAUUGGUGGAUUUGUUGGUUAAUUAAUUAUGGUUAAUUAUGAGUAUUAUAUGAUUAAUAUAUGAAUUUUUGUGAAUUUUAUAUUAUCUGGUUUAUUGCGUUAACUGCUCAUAUGUGUUCGUAUUUGAGAGAUUUCAAUUUCUAUAUGCUCAGGAGAAAAUAUAGUUUAUUUGGAUAUUUUCAUAUCGAUUUAUGGAAUGUUAGAUGAUUUUAUAAUCGAUUUACGGAUUUAAUUGCGUAUAUUUAUAUUUAAUUAUUAAUUAUUUGACUUCCGUAAAACCGUCCACUCGUAACGAGGUAGCAAAUUUUCUUCCCGGAAGUUUCAACAAAACUGACCUUUAGCCUAAUUUGAAUAUUCCGGACACUUUUCGUGUUUUGACUUUUUCGAUCCGGAGUACGGUUUUCCCCGGAGUCGGUCCGGCGGAGUUUUUCGGGUAUUUUAAUUGUUGAUAAUUAUCCAGUUUGUCUCGAUAAACGUGAAACGAGAUAUUUUGAUUAUUAUAUUAAUUCUUAUCUUGUAAUAAUUGCAAUGGGACCCGCAUACUAAUGACUGAUUAAAAAGCCCCGUUUUGAUGAUUAUCUUGAAAACCAGUACCGAUUGGACCCCGCUUUAUUAAUAUAAAGCUAUUAAAUACGUAUUUUCAUGUCAUAAACGAUCCAAAGGGGUACCAAUUAUUUGUAAAUAUAAAUAGACCUUUCUAGAGCUUAUUUUCACCCGUAAAAUCAUUUCACCAGUUUCUUUGCACGAAUACCGAGAGAAACCGAGCGGUGUUCUUCGUGUUCUUCAUAAUCAAACGAAGAUUUGAAGGUGUUAUUGGAGUCAGAAUCAAGCGUGCAAAUAGUCAAAUCGAAGAUAUCGAAGAGUAGAACCCAAAUCAAUCAUCAAAAACAACAUGAGAUUCACAGGUAGGGAGUAAUUGAAGUUUUAAAAUUCGAAUUAUUAUGAUUUAAAUAGUGAAUUUUUGCAAACGUGUUUGUUUGAUUGUUUGGAUGAUUCCAUGUUGUAGAACGUGUUUUUCUCGUCGUUUUGGUAUAUUAUAUGUUGAAU
This 7593-nucleotide long non-coding RNA is filed under the name Daucus carota (carrot). Its description in RNAcentral is "long non-coding RNA (DCAR_LNC005416)". Lineage: Eukaryota; Viridiplantae; Streptophyta; Magnoliopsida; Apiales; Apiaceae. The record is from RNAcentral.